GUGGGCAACCCUGACGCAGCAACGCCGCGUGAGUGAUGAAGGCCUUCGGGUCGUAAAGCUCUGUCAGAGGGAAAGAAAUGUGGGGGGGCUAAUAUCCCUACCACUUGACGGUACCCUCAAAG
This 122-nucleotide ribosomal RNA is filed under the name Geobacter sp. enrichment culture. Its description in RNAcentral is "partial 16S ribosomal RNA". It matches the Rfam family "Bacterial small subunit ribosomal RNA", at positions 373 to 486 of the family's 1533-position model. Lineage: Bacteria; Pseudomonadati; Thermodesulfobacteriota; Desulfuromonadia; Geobacterales; Geobacteraceae. The record is from RNAcentral.